GGGGAAUAUUGGACAAUGGGCGAAAGCCUGAUCCAGCAACGCCGCGUGAGGGAUGACGGCCUUCGGGUUGUAAACCUCUUUCAGCAGGGACGAAGCGAAAGUGACGGUACCUGCAGAAGAAGGACCGGCCAACUACGUGCCAGCAGCCGCGGUAAUACGUAGGGUCCGAGCGUUGUCCGGAAUUAUUGGGCGUAAAGGGCUCGUAGGCGGUUUGUCGCGUCGGGAGUGAAAAUCCAGGGCUCAACCCUGGACGUGCUUUCGAUACGGGCAGACUAGAGGUAUUCAGGGGAGAACGGAAUUCCUGGUGUAGCGGUGGAAUGCGCAGAUAUCAGGAGGAACACCGGUGGCGAAGGCGGUUCUCUGGGAAUUACCUGACGCUGAGGAGCGAAAGCAUGGGGAGCGAAC
RNAcentral lists this ribosomal RNA (405 nucleotides) under uncultured bacterium. RNAcentral's name for it is "bacterial SSU rRNA". It matches the Rfam family "Bacterial small subunit ribosomal RNA", at positions 356 to 773 of the family's 1533-position model. The record is from RNAcentral.